GCAGAGCAUCCUACGGGAGGCAGCAUGGGGAAUAUUGCACAAUGGGCGCAAGCCUGAUGCAGCCAUGCCGCGUGUAUGAAGAAGGCCUUCGGGUUGUAAAGUACUUUCAGCAGUGAGGAAGGUGGAUAUGUUAAUAGCAUAUUCAUUUGACGUUAGCUGCAGAAGAAGCACCGGCUAACUCCGUGCCAGCAGCCGCGGUAAUACGGAGGGUGCGAGCGUUAAUCGGAAUUACUGGGCGUAAAGCGCAUGCAGGUGGUUUGUUAAGUCAGAUGUGAAAGCCCGGGGCUCAACCUCGGAAUUGCAUUUGAAACUGGCAAACUAGAGUACUGUAGAGGGGGUAGAAUUUCAGGUGUAGCGGUGAAAUGCGUAGAGAUCUGAAGGAAUACCGGUGGCGAAGGCGGCCCCCUGGACAGAUACUGACACUCAGAUGCGAAAGCGUGGGGAGCAAACAGGAUUAGAUACCCUGGUAG
Molecule: ribosomal RNA, 470 nt
Filed under: uncultured bacterium
Lineage: Bacteria
Description: bacterial SSU rRNA
Rfam family: Bacterial small subunit ribosomal RNA
Source: RNAcentral